Molecule: ribosomal RNA, 253 nt
Filed under: uncultured bacterium
Lineage: Bacteria
Description: partial 16S ribosomal RNA
Rfam family: Bacterial small subunit ribosomal RNA
Source: RNAcentral
UACGUAGGGGGCAAGCGUUGUCCGGAAUCAUUGGGCGUAAAGCGCGUGUAGGCGGCUCGGUAAGUCUGCUCUGAAAGCCUGGGGCUCAACCCUGGGAGGCGGGUGGAUACUGCUGAGCUCGAGUCCGGAAGAGGCGAGUGGAAUUCCUGGUGUAGCGGUGAAAUGCGCAGAUAUCAGGAAGAACACCCGUGGCGAAAGCGGCUCUCUGGAACGGUACUGACGCUGAGACGCGAAAGCGUGGGGAGCGAACAGG